This 377-nucleotide ribosomal RNA is filed under the name uncultured bacterium. RNAcentral describes it as "bacterial SSU rRNA". It matches the Rfam family "Bacterial small subunit ribosomal RNA", at positions 521 to 896 of the family's 1533-position model. The record is from RNAcentral.
UAAAACGUAGGUGGCGAGCGUUAUCCGGAUUUACUGGGCGUAAAGGGUGUGCAGGCGGGCUGUUAAGUGGUGUAUGAAAUAUCCCGGCUCAACCGGGAAGGGUUAUGCCAGACUGGCAGUCUAGAGAGCGAGAGAGGGACGUGGAAUUCCGGGUGUAGUGGUGAAAUGCGUAGAGAUCCGGAGGAACCCCAGAGGCGAAGGCGGCGUCCUGGCUCGCAUCUGACGCUCAGACACGACAGCAUGGGGAGCGAACGGGAUUAGAAACCCCGGUAGUCCAUGCCGUAAACGAUGCCAACUAGGCGCUGGCGGUCUCAACCCCGUCGGUGCCGCAGCAAACGCGAUAAGUUGGCCGCCUGGGGAGUACGGUCGCAAGGCUA